This 444-nucleotide ribosomal RNA is filed under the name Holothuria mammata. RNAcentral describes it as "partial 16S ribosomal RNA". It matches the Rfam family "Bacterial large subunit ribosomal RNA", at positions 1966 to 2625 of the family's 2925-position model. Lineage: Eukaryota; Metazoa; Echinodermata; Holothuroidea; Aspidochirotida; Holothuriidae. The record is from RNAcentral.
CAUUUGUCUUUUAAAUGAAGACUUGUAUGAACGGCAAAACCUCCUCCAACUGUCUCCCCUCCCAUCCUUCCAAAUUUCCUCCUGUGUGAAGAAGCGCAGAUACACCAGAAAGACGAGAAGACCCUGUCGAGCUUUAACCACUAAGUGGGCCUUACCCUUUCAGGCACCACCCAAAGGUUUUGGUUGGGGCAACCACGGAGAAAAAACAUCCUCCAGAACGAAUAGAAGAAAGCUUUUCACUAUUAUUACGAUUAAGAACCAGGAACUGGUAUUCGGAAAGAGUUACCGCAGGGAUAACAGCGUCAUCUCCUCUAAGAGUCCUUAUUGACGAGGAGGUUUGCGACCUCGAUGUUGGAUUGGGGCCCCCUUAGGGUGCAGAAGCUCUAAACGGUUAGACUGUUCGUCUAUUAAAGCCCUACAUGAUCUGAGUUCNAAACCGGAGAU